Cygnus olor (mute swan) is the source of this 7990-nucleotide long non-coding RNA. RefSeq lists it as uncharacterized. The transcript has 4 exons. The record is from RefSeq and is a predicted model, not a curated record. Lineage: Eukaryota; Metazoa; Chordata; Aves; Anseriformes; Anatidae.
UCCCUGGUGUAGGUAGUAUUUCUUAAAGCAAGUUUUAUUUGGCUUGUGUGCAGAGCUCUGUCUUCAUAAACUUUUAAUCUCAGAGCUGUCAAACUUCCUUUCACCUGGAGUUUUACAGUAAAUAGAAAAAAAACAAUGACAAAGAUGCUCUUCUGUAGAAAAGUGAGCUUAGAGAAUGUAGUUCAAGGUGAAAAUCUUGUGGUGUCAUUUUAGUAACUAAUCGAAAUUGAUUCAAGGGAAGCUUUCCUGGAUCGCUUCUGAAUCUCUAAAGCCAAAGACUUGAGAAAAUAAUGAAGUACUGCAAACCCAGGAUCUCCCGGAGAGUCCUGAGUGGCCUCUGCAGUACGGGGAGAAAGGAGAGGACAGAGGAAGUGGCGCAGCACUGGAGGCAUGGCUGUGUGGUGCUUGUCGCACAUGCAAGACGUUUGCGUCGCGUUCAGCGCAGAAUAGUUCCUUAGGCAAAUCAGUUCAUUACAAUGUGGUUUUGUUUGUUUGUUUUUCUUCUUCUCAUACUUUGCACAUGAAUGUGAUGUAAGGAAGUGGUGAAACAUCUGGCUUGGUCUUCCAACCUUCUCUGCAGCUGGAUUCCCCAGACUGUCUACAUGGGCUUGCUGUGCUGCUCCCAAACUCAUUGUUGGUUCUCAGGCACCCCAAGUUGCCACCCCUUUAGCCUUCAUUAGCACUCAUUACAAAUCAGUAAUUUUGAGUCUCUCUCCUGUUCGUGUGAUGUCUAGUCUUUGCAUUUUAAAUGUUUGUUUUGAAUGAGUAGGUGAGGGGAAAAUAAUUGUGAAUGCUAAGCAGCAAUAGGCAGAAAUAAUCAGUGGUGUGGUAUCUGUGCCAGGACACUGGGCUUGAUCCUUCUGCCAGUAUUCAUAGAGAAAUGGCAGAAACCAUUUUGAAAAAUGGCUUGUCUGCUUAUUUUAAUUUCUAAGACUCAGAAUUUAGAUUUUUACUCAGGAGAACAUUCAGUGAUACUGCUUUUGCAGCAUCUUUCAUUUUUGCCAGCUGCCAUAGAGUGGGUGGUAAAAAAUGAUGCCUGUGAGGUUACUGAAAUAGGGACCAACCUUUUGACUUCUUUGAAUGGUGACCAGGAAACUUCUGAUGCAUAACACAAGGAGACACCACCAGUUCACAGAAGAGAGAGGAUCAUGUGAUGUGCAGAAUUAGUCUAUUGAGGGAAUGUGGUCCUUCUUUUCUGCUCAUUAAAUGUCUACAAGUAUCUUUUGAUUUCCAUAAAGUAUUUGGCAGACAUGUCCUUGAAUUAAUCCAGGUGGAUUAUUCACGAAUAUCUUUGCUAUGUUGUUUUAUGGUGAUUGGCCAAGUCAAUCACAAAAUGUCCUUUAUCUUGGGUAGAAGAAUAUACUCCUACUUGUAUGAUUAAUUCUGUGUAUGCAAUUUACAAUCCAUAUUUGGUGAAUACUCCUAUGUAUGAUUUUAAGUAAGCUUUUUACAAGUAGUUUUGCCAGUGAAACUCACCUUAAUGUUGUCAAAAAACAAAUGCAAAAAGGUGCAUCAUUUUUUGUGGUUACAUACUUAAGUGUUAUUAGCCCAACGGUACUUCAUCCUUCAUUCUGGGCAGUGAACAGUGUUCAGGUAUUUAGUUUUCAUCAUUUUCUUUAGUAUUUCAUUCAAUUCUAGACAAAACAUGGAAAAGAUCUAGUUUGUUCACAAGUCCUGUAGGCACUCCAGUAUUGCUGCUAAGCUUGUACAGAGUUCAUACGCCAUCACAGUGUGAGAUAGCAGCAUUAGAUAAAUGGACUGGUAGACUGGUAAGGAGCUCGUGUUUGGAGCGGAAGAGGCAGGCAGGCAGGACUCCCAUCUCAGUAGAUAUUCCAGGGAAGGUCAGGAAGGAAGAGGGAUUUUUAUUUCUUCAGUACUACGUGGAUAUUACUGAAAAUGCACUUGGCACUGUUGCAUGCUGGAGGAGAGCCUUGGAGUCUUCUGGGGGCCUGUGAAAAAUACAAUCAGUGCUAUCGUACUGGUUCUGCCUGGUCCCAAGAGUGUAAAAUGUGCAGAUUGGGGAAUAUUUGCUCAUUUUAUUCAUAUAUACUUUUAUAUAUGUAUGUUUAAUUUCUGUCUUGAAUAAGUGAGCAUGUCUGGUGGAUAGAGAAGAGGUAUAAAGGGUGGUAAGGAGAAGAGCAGACUUGGUUGUGGGAAACAUGGGAUAACUGCCCCAAAUUUUUGGAGUAGGCAGAAACACUGAUAGUCAGCAUAUGAACAGUUUUGAAAAAUCCAUUCCAAGUUAUUCCGGGUCUAGGUGAUGGCCAAAGAUCGUACAGCUAAGAAAAGGUGGCAGGGAGGGACAAAGAGCAAGAGGAUGUAGGGUAAGCACUCCUGCUAUCAGAUCUCUUGCCUAGAUGAGUAGUGUGUUAUCUGCGGUCUAUGGGAUGUGCUAAAGGCAAACUAGAGAUUGUGGGCUAGAUAAAAUGUAUACAGAGCGAUUGUUUGUUAGGACAUAUGAUUUAUGAAGUCUUUAAAAUGUUGCAGUAAAAAAGACCACUUACGCUAAGAAAUAAAAACUUGGGCAACCCUCAGAGAGGAGGAAGGAGAAAGCCCAGGAAUGGCAGCGAGAGUCAAGUGUAGUAUGAGAAGAGGAAAGAAAAGAGGAGCUGUGUUGAGCAGAGGGUACAAGGAGUUGCUCAGAAAGGCUCUGGUGGGGAAGUGGGGGUCAAUGAGGAGAAGGGAUGGGCAGGGGAAGAGGUCUGACGAUUAAACCUCGAGGUACAACUGAACGGCCAAGUUCAGGAUGUGAAGAGAAGCUGAGUCUACCCUUGGCUCCUGUAACUGAGUGGUGUCUAAAAUAUCGCAAGUGAUAGCUGGCAAAGAAGUUCAGUGUAGUCGUUUGGUGUUAUUUAGUUAAACUCUGCUUUUGUAGGAGUAUUUUCAAGGUUUCAACCAAGAAUGUAAUCUUUGCACUUGCUAGUAUAAACUCUCCUUGUUUUUCACCCUAAGCAAAUUCAGUAUUUCAAAUACUUGGUCGAGCUGCCUUGGUAAUGCUAGAACAGCCGUGCUUCCUGAGUUUCUCUGAAAACACUGAACAAGGAGGAGGUUGGGGAUCUGAGGCAGGAGCUGUGCUGUUCCCGGCUAAGCUGGACUUAGGGGUGAGAGCCCAAGGGCUGGAUAUCAGCCCGUGCCCAUCGGUCGGGGACCAAGUGCCAGAGACGCCACAGUUUCAGAUAUCCCAAAUUGUUUGAGGAUAGGGCUUGAAUCUCUGACAGCUUUGGGAAGUUUGGCGGCAGGUGACUUCUGGGAAAGGUGCUGAUUGAUGCAUGAAGUGAGGCCACAGAUCUCACCUUGUGAUCUAGCCAAAGAUCCUUUGCCUCUUCCCAUUUCCCACAUCCCUCUUUGUAUUGCUCUCCUUCUGCUGAAAGCAAGCUGCUACGGCACACUCCAGCGCUUCCUCCAGAGCCGGCACUAAAUGCACCACCCUUGUGCCAGGCCAGACGUGCAGUAAGAGCUGCCAGUCCUCACCAGUUCCGCCGCUUCCCAGAGGCCUCCUCCACCAGCAGACCUGAGCGAGCAGAUUAAAGGCAGAAGGGAGCCGGGUCGCUCAGGUGGGACGCCUGCCCGCCGCCUUCCCGGGAGCACAGCCCGUGCCUAAUGCAGUAAUAAUGAAGUACGUGAUUCCCAGGGAGAUCAAACUCGCUUUGAAUGCCAGGAAAGGACCCCGCUAUGCAUUUUAACACAGGAGGACUGGAGCCUCAGCUAUUUACUCUUUCUAAAAAAAGAUUUUGACAAGUGAGUGGCAGAUUUCAAAUCUCCUUCUCGGGAAUAAAUCGAGGCAACUGUUUCUUAGCAUGCCAUAUUUCCAUUUAAUAAAAUGUGCAUGAUCCGCAGCAGCCCUGAAGAUGGGCCAGCAGCGGGGAGCCCCUAGCUCCCAUCUGGGAGGGACGUGUACGCCUGAGGGAUGGGGCACUGCCUUUGCUGGGAUCCCCAGAGGCUCCGUGGGCCCAGGCCUGCAGGACGGUUCACAGGCGCGAGGGAUGGGCCGGGUCUGCUUGGAAGUUCAAGCUCACUGAACUGAGACCUCGGAGAACAAUUCCUCCGGCUGCCACUGCCUUCCUGAGCAGCCCUCUGAAGCUCUCCGUCCUCAGAAACCCCCCACCCUCUCCCCUGCCUCCCUCUCUUAAUACGUUCACAAAUUUUCCUGACAAAAGAGCAAUUACAACCUUAUGGAGACAACUUACAAAGAGAGUGGGGAUGACCCCAAAGAGAGGUUUGCGCUACUCAACACAUGGCCAGUCACCAACAAAGCCAGCCCCGCUCACAUUUGAUCACAGAAGAGCCUCCCAGACUGGCACGCUUGACCAAAAACUGGCUGGGUGACUCAUUCGUCUGGCGGCUCUGUGAUUCAUGAACCUCCAGGAGGAAGGGAGGAGGGAAGUGAAUGCUUUUCAGAUCUGAAGUUAAAUGCGAGAGAAACACAUUCCCCCAAAAGCAGACACUCGACUGUGUCCAAUUGGUGUGUGAAUACCAGGACAAAGCCAGGGCGGGAGCCCUGGUGUGCCACACGGCACGGCUCCGAAGGCGGGCUGCGCUGCAGGUGGCACUUUCCCAAACGCAUGGUUCAGAAGGUCUUGAGUAUAUAAACUGAAAUGGUGCUUUACAUCGUAGCCCUGUGUGCUCCGUCUGUUCCAGCUUUGCAGCUUCCCCAGUGACUUCCCAGUUUGGAUCUGACUCUGAGGGGCUUGACCUGAUAUGGGGGUCAAAAACCUCAACUGACUUAGACUUAAAAUUUAAGCUUCCAAUCAGUGCUGUAAUUUUGGCCUAUCUAUGAAGCAGGCGUGUCAAGGGCAAGCACCCCAUCCUCAGAGAGGUGCCUGCACACGAGGCAGGAUGAGUCCUCCACCAGAGGAACCUCUCUCCGCGUGCUUUGGAAGGACCCCAACCAGCCACCUCCCUCCCAGGUGACCGGGGACACCAGGCCUGCGCGGCCAGGAGCAGCCUUGUCCUCGGUGCGGCCUCGGAAGCUCAGGGUCUGCAUUGAGCUCGCUGAAAUGGCUGUGCUCGUGAGGCUGUAGCAGGGGAUUAUGUUACUUGCUGCCUCAGACAUAUGGGUCAAAACGCUAAAUUAUUUAGCAGCCAUUGCCAGAUGGAUUUUCAAACAAUUAAGAAGCGCUAAAAAUAGGCAGCUCUCUCUGUCUCUUGAAUUUUGCCAGAAAGCGGCUGUUUGCUGUUUGCUCGCCAGCAAUUUAUGCUGAGGGAGCAGCAGAGGCCUCGUGCUCGCCGCAGUCAUUGGGGGCUUCAGCCACGGCUGGGCCCCUGACUGAAUGUAGGCUGCAGUGCAUCGGGAUAAAAGUGCCCUAGGUAGGUGGGUGUUCACGCACAGGAAAGAGUUUAAACUGCUCGGUAUUACUUUUCGCAUCACUGGUAUUGCUGUUGUAAUUCUGGGUGAGAGGUGUGCUUCACACUGCUUCAUUCGGUGGUUGGGUUUCACUGCCCCCCAUCCAUGUUGGGAUGAUGAGGGCAGGAGCCAUUAAAGCUCCGCUGUCAAAGGGGUUUGGGGGGCUUAAAUCUGUGUGAGUACCAAAAUACCUUUAAACUCAGGUUUUAGCUCUUCAUUUCUGUGCUAUGGUAGAUGGAGACACCAAGAGGGGUGUGGAAACCCGCUGUUCGCUUCAACCAGUCAUAUAUGUAGUAAGGCAUUUUGGGAUGUGUAGUUUGACGCCUCCUGAAGCUCCCAGCUCCAUGUCGUCAAGGCAAGAGCAUCCUCUGGCCACACGUCAGGGCUCCACAGUCGGUCUGGCUCAAGGGUGAGACUUUGGCCUCUGAGUCUUUAUUUUUGUGGCACAGAAUGUGCUUUGCCCAGAGUCAAAGGGAGCAUUUCUUUUUUGAGUUGCAGUCACCAUAAAAGCAGGUACUUUGCAUUGAGCCCCAGGUUUGUGAGCCUCCGCUGCCAGCUUAGCUCUGAUGCUCCACUUGGUGCAACCUGCAGCAUGCAGCAGACCCUGGGGAAUAGUGCAGAUGAUGGAGCACAUUUAACUGAGUUUCUGUUUCUAAAAAAUGUUACACUAGGCAAAGGAGUUGGACCUGAAUGAAAGUGGUGGAUCUAAUUUUAGACAGUACCUAUGAAUGAAACUUGAAACGAGCUGUUCAGGAAAUACCUUCCUCUGCGCCAGUGCCAGGGAGAGUAUGUGAUUUAAUGCUAAAUUAGCCAGUGCCUAUGAACAGGUUACUGCAAGAAUAUUUUUCCCUACUUCCAACUAAAUUAUUUAAAAAGAGCAACAUCAUAAUUUCUGCAUGUAUACCCAUGUCCUUUUGCAAAAGCUGCAGCUCUUCUACCUCUGGGGAUCGCGUGCCUCCUCUGCCCUAGUGCCAUCUGUCACCCCUUGAUGCCUGUUUGUCACUGUGGCCCCACACUGAAGAGCUCUUUGCUUCGAUCUGCUGUCUGGGGAUGGCCAAAAGUGAAUGGCAAACACCAGAGGACUUAGAGCAAAUUGAAAGCGUAUCCCAGGGCUCUUGCCCAGAUGAGCAGCCACGUUGGCUUGCAAGAGGCCAGAUCUCUUUCAAAUAUGCUCCAUUAUAUAUUGACCAAACAUUUCUCUUUUCUUAAGAAAGCCAGAAGGGAGUACUGCCCCUUGAGAUUCCAAGCAGGUGUCCUGUCCCUGUCUCUCAGGCCUUUUAUCACACAGCUUUUCAUGCCCUUAAUUUGGGACCCUGGAGACCUAAGGGUUUAGCUGCGAAAUAAAUCAGCAAACUAGCUCCGUACCUUCCUGCACAGUCUUUGCAGCCAAGCACCAAGUUAUAGGCACCUUCCUGCACACGUGGGCUAGGCACAGCAAACACAGCACUUGACCAGAGAAUAAUUUACAGUUAUAACAAGCCAGUGACUCCUAUCUAUCCCCUAACAAGAUUUUUGGCCCUUAGCGAUGGAAGCUGUAGUUAGUAAAAGUGCAGAUACAUUUUGUGAUGCUUAUUUUCCUUUAUCCAGAUAAUCUGGGUCUUGGGUCAAAUCCAUCAUUAACUAACCAAACCUCCCUCAACCCUGUAUUUUAUGAAGUUUCAGUAUGGAAAGGCUUUAAUGAGUUCCUGUUCGUGAUGAAAUUUCCUAUGUUGGAUGCAGCCCUGAACCUCACACUAGUGCUGGCCUAGCAUGGGAUGGUGCUGUUUGACCUGGCCACCUGGAGCUGCACCGUGUGGCUACCAGCUUGUCACAGUGCCUUCCAGUACAGAUUCUCCAGGGAGUACAGGAAGAUACAUUACCUAAGCUUCUCAAUUGACCUCAACAUCGGAGGACCUGCAGAUACAUCUCAGGAAAUGUGGGUGUAAGCUGCCGAGGGUUCAGCUGUUUUGUCAGAAGGCAUCUAAGUGUCCCUGUACGUACAUGAUCCAAGAGACAAUCUCCAUGAUCGAAUGUGCUCCAUGCUGUGGAAAUGAUUUCGAACCAUUGCCAGGGAUGUUAGUUUUAUUUUCACCUUUGUAGACCACUGCUCAUUGGGGACACCUGAAAGAAAAAGGUGAAAAAGAUUUACAAAAGUUGUUUUAUGUCUCUGAUUGCAGUGGCUCAUUAAAGCUAUGAAAUACUGAAAUGCUCCUUCACCCUCACUCAGUAUUUUCUCAGGCAGACAGCCAGGUGGUCACUGUGGUCCUUGCAGAAGCCUUCUGUUGGGAAGAAGCUCAUCCAGCCUGUCAAGGGGAGCAGGAGGGAGCGAGAAACCCGUGCCAGAUAAAAUGGGGCUUAUCAGUUUGUAGCUUUGGAUGGACUGCGAGUGUCAGGAAAUGGGGAGGUGGAGGCUGAGGCCUGACUCCCACCCUUGCAGCCCAGGGCAGCCUUCUUUCUCCUCCUUGGGACAUCUUUAGCAAUCUCUGUUGUCAUGGCCAGGAUCUUACCUAAGAGACAUCUACAUUUCUGGAGCGUGGCCCUAGGGGAAAUGAAGUUCCAAGCCGUUGCACUGCCAGCCUGUGAAGCCGGAGCAGCACAUCCCUCCUGGUGUGCCCUCCCCAGGACCCAAAGCCUAAGGCACUCAGGGGAGCAGAAAGGGGCUUCUCU